Molecule: ribosomal RNA, 253 nt
Filed under: uncultured bacterium
Lineage: Bacteria
Description: partial 16S ribosomal RNA
Rfam family: Bacterial small subunit ribosomal RNA
Source: RNAcentral
UACGGGGGGGGCAAGCGUUGUUCGGAAUUACUGGGCGUAAAGGGCUCGUAGGUGGCCAACUAAGUCAGGCGUGAAAUCCCUCGGCUUAACCGGGGAACUGCGUCUGAUACUGGAUGGCUAGAGUUUGGGAGAGGGAUGCGGAAUUCCAGGUGUAGCGGUGAAAUGCGUAGAUAUCUGGAGGAACACCGGUGGCGAAGGCGGCAUCCUGGACCAACACUGACGCUGAGGAGCGAAAGCCAGAGGAGCAAACGGG